CAACAUCAAUUGUUACCACCACAAGAGUAGCACCAAUUGUGUACCAGAAAUUGAAUUAGGGGAAAAGUAAAACCAAUAAACAAAAGGAAAGGAGGUUUCUUUUUAGUGAAACAUUGGCACCACACGUACGAUUGACACGUUUACCAUUGAAAUUCCACGACACAAAAGAAAAGAAAUUGGUAGACUAUUGGAUUAUUGAUAGCUUUAUUACAAAAGUAGGUUACAAGUUCCCCCUCCAAAUCAAGACUACAUUAUUAGUACUUCAAUUUUUUCAAUUCAAUUCGUUGGCUCCGUUUUUCGUGCUCUGGGAAUUCAACGGUGAAUCCUUGCCGCAACGAAUGCAGGUUCCAAUGGGGCCGCAAAUGCAUGGAGGAGUACAAAAGCAAGGCAUCGGGCCGGGUAUGAAUUGAUUAACAUCCCUUCCUUCCGCUCCAAUAUUUGAAGUCUCACCUGCAAUUGCAUUGUUAGAUAAUACUAUAUUUUGAAAUCCUAUUCACAUUUUCUAACUACCAAAAUAGCGAUUAAAUACCUGCGACGAAAAUCAAAAGCACGACCAUGAAAACCAACUUCAUAGAUGUCUUAUCCAUCUCUCUUUUUCUUUAAUUAAAUAUGUAUCUUUGGAGCUCUGCAAUAUGUAUCGAUAGUUGUAAGUGUUUGAGAUGUGUGAGUUUGAAGACUUUGGUUUGGUUGAUUUAUAUACUGUGAAUGAAGAUGAGGUAGUUGUAAUGGAU
This 731-nucleotide long non-coding RNA is filed under the name Linum usitatissimum (flax). RNAcentral's name for it is "long non-coding RNA (LUSI_LNC008115)". The record is from RNAcentral. Lineage: Eukaryota; Viridiplantae; Streptophyta; Magnoliopsida; Malpighiales; Linaceae.